UACGUAGGGUGCAAGCGUUAAUCGGAAUUACUGGGCGUAAAGCGUGCGCAGGCGGUUAUGUAAGACAGAUGUGAAAUGCCCGGGCUUAACCUGGGAAUGGCAUUGGUGACUGCACGGCUAGAGUGUGUCAGAGGGGGGUAGAAUUCCACGUGUAGCAGUGAAAUGCGUAGAGAUGUGGAGGAAUACCGAUGGCGAAGGCAGCCCCCUGGGAUAACACUGACGCUCAUGCACGAAAGCGUGGGGAGCAAACAGG
Molecule: ribosomal RNA, 253 nt
Filed under: uncultured bacterium
Lineage: Bacteria
Description: partial 16S ribosomal RNA
Rfam family: Bacterial small subunit ribosomal RNA
Source: RNAcentral